RNAcentral lists this ribosomal RNA (468 nucleotides) under uncultured bacterium. RNAcentral describes it as "partial 16S ribosomal RNA". It matches the Rfam family "Bacterial small subunit ribosomal RNA", at positions 28 to 523 of the family's 1533-position model. The record is from RNAcentral.
GAUGAACGCUGGCGGCGUGCCUAACACAUGCAAGUCGAGCGAUUCUCUUCGGAGAAGAGCGGCGGACGGGUGAGUAACGCGUGGGUAACCUGCCCUAUACACACGGAUAACAUACCGAAAGGUAUGCUAAUACGAGAUAAUAUGCUUUUAUCGCAUGGUAGAAGUAUCAAAGCUCCGGCGGUACAGGAUGGACCCGCGUCUGAUUAGCUAGUUGGUAAGGUAACGGCUUACCAAGGCGACGAUCAGUAGCCGACCUGAGAGGGUGAUCGGCCACAUUGGAACUGAGACACGGUCCAAACUCCUACGGGAGGCAGCGGUGGGGAAUAUUGCACAAUGGGCGAAAGCCUGAUGCAGCAACGCCGCGUGAGCGAUGAAGGCCUUCGGGUCGUAAAGCUCUGUCCUCAAGGAAGAUAAUGACGGUACUUGAGGAGGAAGCCCCGGCUAACUACGUGCCAGCCGCCGCCGUAA